Molecule: long non-coding RNA, 624 nt
Filed under: Homo sapiens (human)
Lineage: Eukaryota; Metazoa; Chordata; Mammalia; Primates; Hominidae
Description: prostate enriched lncRNA
Source: RNAcentral
GCGCUUUGGAAUCCUGCAGAUAUAAUAAUGAUAAUUAAACAAAACACUCAGAGAAACUGCCAACCCUAGGAUGAAGUAUAUUGUUACUGUGCUUUGGGAUUAAAAUAAGUAACUACAGUUUAUAGAACUUUUAUACUGAUACACAGACACUAAAAAGGGAAAGGGUUUAGAUGAGAAGCUCUGCUAUGCAAUCAAGAAUCUCAGCCACUCAUUUCUGUAGGGGCUGCAGGAGCUCCCUGUAAAGAGAGGUUAUGGAGUCUGUAGCUUCAGGUAACCACUGAUCCACUUCCAGUCACUAUCCAUGAGUUUUUAUUUCCAAAUACAUGAAAUCAUAUGAAUUUCUGGUUUUUCCUGUUGGAGCCCAAGGAGCAAGGGCAGAAUGAAGAACAUGAUGUUUCCUACCGACAGUUACUCAUGACGUCUCCAUCCAGGACUGAGGGGGGCAUCCUUCUCCAUCUAGGACUGGGGGCAUCCUUCUCCAUCCAGUAUUGGGGGUCAUCCUCCUCCAUCCAGGACCUGAGGGGUGUCCUUUUCUGCGCUUCCUUGGAUGGCAGUCUUUCCCUUCAUGUUUAUAGUGACUUACCAUUAAAUCACUGUGCCGUUUUUUCCUAAAAUAUAUGGGGC